This 469-nucleotide unclassified non-coding RNA is filed under the name Hevea brasiliensis (rubber tree). The record is from RNAcentral. Lineage: Eukaryota; Viridiplantae; Streptophyta; Magnoliopsida; Malpighiales; Euphorbiaceae.
GAAGAUAUACACGCUAGUACGACGGAAGGAAAGAGGGUAGAGAUCUAAAUCACUUUAAGUGUAUUAAAGAUGAUAAUCAAGUUUUGUUGGGAGAUAGUGAGAUCGAAGAAAGAUGGGGAUGCUACUUUGAUAAGCUGUUUAGUGUGAGUAAUGAGGAUGACUUUACAAACCUUAAUGUUCCUUUGAUAGAGAACCUUAACUCCAUUCAUAGAAUUAGGUUUGCCGAAGUAAAAGAGGUGAUGAAGAAUAUGAACAUAGAGAGAUCUUGUGGCUUAGAUAGUAUCCCUAUAUAAGUAUGAACAUAGAGAGAUCUUGUGGCUUAGAUAGUAUCCCUAUAUAAGUAUGAAUUGGCUUGGAUAGAUUAGAGUAGCUUGGCUAAAUAAACUAUUUAAUGCCAUACUAAAAUUUGGAAAGAUGCCAAAUGAGUGAAGGAAGAUCAUUUUUAUUCCUAUCUUUAAGAAUAAAGGAG